AGCAGCGUGGCGUAGUGGUUGGAGUGUUGGACUAGGACUCUGGAGAGCAGGGUUCAAUUCCCAGCUCUGCCA
Molecule: transfer RNA, 72 nt
Filed under: Phrynosoma platyrhinos (Desert horned lizard)
Lineage: Eukaryota; Metazoa; Chordata; Lepidosauria; Squamata; Phrynosomatidae
Description: tRNA-OTHER
Source: RNAcentral